UCCAACAACUGUUUGGACCCAAUUGU
Molecule: non-coding RNA, 26 nt
Filed under: Rattus norvegicus (Norway rat)
Lineage: Eukaryota; Metazoa; Chordata; Mammalia; Rodentia; Muridae
Source: RNAcentral